Long non-coding RNA from Chelonoidis abingdonii (Abingdon island giant tortoise), 1346 nucleotides. RefSeq lists it as uncharacterized. Lineage: Eukaryota; Metazoa; Chordata; Testudines; Testudinidae. The record is from RefSeq and is a predicted model, not a curated record.
AAUAGUGUGUGUGUGACACACGUGUGUUGGCUGUAUCGUGCCUGGACUGUGGUAUACGAAGGGGACCUCGCCUUGUUAAUUGAAUUCAGAGCUGCUAGGUUUGGCGCAGCUUGGUGUGGGACAUUUCUCAGCGGUGACAUUCACGGAUUUCCCUCUCUGGGUGUUCCCCGGCUGGGGAUGCGGCAGGGAGGGGCGGCUCCAGGCACCCGCUUGACGGCUGCAGUCAGGCGGCGUGUCUGCGGGAGGUCCGCCGGUCUGCGCUUUCAGCGGCAGUAGGGCAGGGGGUAGCCAAAGGCAAGGGACCAGCCGGCCUCCCACAGACACCUGCUGAAAGCCGCCUGACUGCCCUGCUUGGGGUGGCAAAAUACACGGAGCCGCCCCUGGCGGCAGGAGCCUAUCCCAUGUGCCCUGCAGAAGGGGAGGGGGGAGGGCUUGGAGAAGGUGAGUGAGGAUCCGGGUUGUGGAGCGAGUCAGCGGGAAGAUGUUUGAAGACGGAGGACAGAAGUGCACAGAAUUAAUUUUAGAUGCCAACAAGUGUGACACUGAGAUGGCCCUGAGCAGUAGUUCCCAAGAGCACACUUUCUGGUGACAGCUAGAGUGGAAUUCACCUGCUGCAGAGGUUCAAAUAAGGCUCUUCAUAGCUACCAGUGAUUAGGACUCAACCUGUAUGCAGUUUCAUGUUUUGAGUGUUGACUCCUAACGAGCAGCAAGACUGAACUACCACUCCAGUUUUAAUCAUACAGUAGGGAAGGAUGUCAGUGCAGAAGAUGGUCUGAGGUUUGCAACAUGGAGAUCAAGGGCCUGAUUCACCACUGCUAUGCACCUGAGGUACUGAUUUACCCUUCAUUAUUUCUAUUAUGGUAGUGCCUAAGGACCAAUGGAGAAUAGUGCCCUAGAGCACUAGGUGCUGUACAAACAGCGUUACAGACAGUUCUUUGUAGGCCUAACUUUACAUGAGUAAGUUGACAUAGGUAAGACUUUAUUUCUGAAUGGGCCUGGAAGGUGAACAGAAGACUGAGUAAAUAAGGGCUUAACAAAUAUUUGGCUGGAGUCAGUCUAGCUAAGAUAAGCAGAAACACUCUGGACAAAAUGAACCAAAUAAACUUGGAACAUAGAGAUCAUACAUGAAAAGCACAUAGACAGAGCAUGCUGUACAGGGAUUAGUUCCUAAAAAGUAACCAAACCAAUCAUGAAAUGAGUAAUGCAAUGUGUAGCCAGGGAUGCUGGUGUCAGUAAAGAUGUAUAUAAGGAAAACCUUUGUUGGGUAACUGUGGAUUUGCAAUGAACCCUGCAUCCACCCCCUAUGUUUAAGCCUGGCUAGGGUGGGCAUAGUGUUGCUAUAUGUA